RNAcentral lists this ribosomal RNA (330 nucleotides) under uncultured Actinomycetes bacterium. RNAcentral describes it as "bacterial SSU rRNA". It matches the Rfam family "Bacterial small subunit ribosomal RNA", at positions 28 to 351 of the family's 1533-position model. Lineage: Bacteria; Bacillati; Actinomycetota; Actinomycetes. The record is from RNAcentral.
GACGAACGCUGGCGGCGUGCUUAACACAUGCAAGUGGUGCGACGAACCAGGCUUCGGCCUGGGGCAAAGCCGCGAACGGGUGAGUAACACGUGAGUAAUCUGCCCCGAUGACCGGGACAACCCGAGGAAACUCGGGCUAAUACCGGAUGAUGAGCCAAGGCGUAAGCCUUUUCUCUAAAGGAAGCUUCGGCCUCCGCAUCGGGAGGAGCUCGCGGCCCAUUAGCUAGUUGGUGGGGUAACGGCCUACCAAGGCGACGAUGGGUAGCUGGUCUGAGAGGACGAUCAGCCACACUGGGACUGAGACACGGCCCAGACUCCUACGGGAGGCAG